Molecule: ribosomal RNA, 292 nt
Filed under: uncultured bacterium
Lineage: Bacteria
Description: partial 16S ribosomal RNA
Rfam family: Bacterial small subunit ribosomal RNA
Source: RNAcentral
GAUGAACGCUGGCGGCGUGCCUAACACAUGCAAGUCGAGCGGCAGCAUACCCUUCGGGGUGAUGGCGAGCGGCGGACGGCUGAGUAACGCGUGGGAACGUGCCCCAAAGUGAGGAAUAACUGCCCGAAAGGGUAGCUAAUGCCGCAUAUGGUCUUCGGAUUAAAGUAUUUAUACGCUUUGGGAGCGGCCCGCGUCGGAUUAGGUUGUUGGUAGGGUAAAGGCCUACCAAGCCAACGAUCCGUAGCUGGUCUGAGAGGAUGAUCAGCCAGACUGGGACUGAGACACGGCCCAG